UGGGAUCCAGUGCAUUAGUGAUGGUAUGAUCGCAUCCGUUACUACAUGCAAUGCAAUAAUAUCUUUUCUUCUUGAAGACUUUAUGAUCCAUUUGUCGUGGGUCCCACCAGCUAUGUAGGAAUACCCUAUCUUGUUUAUAAGAGCUUUGAUACAUGCAAAAUAUUCAAAAACAAUGUCCGAACAUAUAAUUUUCGCCCCGUAAUAUAGCAAAGAUCGCGAAAACGCCAAAAGAGUACAUUAAGGUCAAAAUUUGGAGUAGAAAAAAAACCCAAUAGAAGAAUUCCAUUUUCCUUCAUCAUUCACCAGAGAGCUCUCUUUUGGCUUUUUGAAAAGGUAUCACAUGCCAAGUUUGGCCUCACGGUCUAAAAGUUAUAGAGUCAUUCAUUUUAAAAAAAAAAAUAGAGAAAAACCAAAAAAAAAAAGAGGGAUGAAACACGAGGACUUUCCGGGAGGUCACCCAUCCUAGUACUACUCUCGCCCAAGCACACUUAACUGCGGAGUUCUUAUGGGAUCUGGUGCAUUAGUGCUGCUAUGAUCGCAUCCGUUACUACAUGCAAUGCAAUCGUAUCUAUUCUUUUUUGAAGACUUUAUGAUCCAUUUGCUGUGGGUCCUGAUAUGUCUAUAAUUUACAUCUUUUCAGUGUCCAUUCAUCACCGUUUUGAGUCCAGUUUUGUAUCAUUCAUCGCUGUUUUAUAUCAUUUCUCAUCAUUCUUGCAUACUUUGCAUGAUUAGGAUAGUUUUGCAUACAUAUUGCAUUUCUAAGUUGUUUUCAGGUGAUUUGGAGCUGUUUGCGAGCAAAUUGGAAGAAACGAGCCAGAACCAGAAGACAUACUCGACCACCAGGUCGUGUGCAUCCAGCACCAUACUCGACCCCCUGGUCGAGUGACUUUGGAGCCAUUCUUCCCAUCUACUCGACCCCCUAGUCGAGUAUCCUCAGCUCAGGCUACUCGAUGACGCCAUCGACCCCCUGGUCGAGUAUCACUUCGCCACACCACCUGACCACACUCGGCCAUUCACUCUACCAAGUUAGUCGACCCCCUGGUCGAGUAUCAUCACUCACCACCAUCACCAUCACUCGACCGGACACUCGAUCACGUCUUCACAGUCUACUCAAAUCCGCACUCAACCAGACAAGCUGAGCACAAGGAAGAGAAGAGGAGAAGACAAAGUGUUUGGAAGCGGCCUGGACCUCCAUCGGAUCACAAAGCCCAUCUCGGCCCAUUAUCACUCUAUUGGUCGGGCGAUUAGGUUAUUGGCCCGUCUACUAUCAUUUUGUUUUGUAUAAAUAGAUGUCUUAGGGUUCUUUCCUGAGACAUCUAGUCGACAUUGAGUUUUUGUUUCAGUUUUAUUUUCUAUUUUACUCUUCUGCGCCGCUUUUGCUUCUACAACCUAUAAUUCGAGAUUUUUCCAAGUUAUUCAGAUUCUGCAUUUGAUUUUAUCUAUCAUCCUGUUUCUCUACUCUUUAUCUCUUUACUUAUGCAAUAUUAUCAUUUAUCUGCGUUUAUGUCUUUGAGCAUGUUGUCUGAGUAGUGACAUAGAAUUCUUAGGGAUGGGAUAGAGUAGUUGUGGAAUCCGUAGUCUGUAGAAUGGUUAAGUUUUAGAAUUGAUUGAAUCCCUUCAGGACUAGUUGCGUUUACUGCUUAUUUCUUUCUGAUCAACUGGAAUUCGAUCCCAAGCAUUCUCGCACCCAGAAGGUGUUCGAUGGAAUGCUUGAUCCACUAGUUCCUGAGAUAUUCGUCUCUAUCCCAAGGGAUUGGGCGUUUAGAGCGUUUAUUGACUUUAUCAGUCUGUUCUUAUUGCCUGCAUAGUUAGAUUGCGUUAAUGGGAAUUAGUCUGGGCUAGCUUUGCUUGAGGAUUUCUAUCACAGAAGUGAAUUGAUUUGUUGUUGAACCUAUUGUCUAGGGAUAGCUUGAUUGCGCUUGUUAACCAUUCGAAUAUGCUAGGAUAUGAUAAGGUCUGACCCUAUCGAAGACAAGAAAAAGACUAAGAGUGAUAAAAUAACAAGAUAAUAGGAAAUGCACCUUGAACGGCGGAGAGUGUAGAUGAGAGAGAGAAUUUCAAGAUUAAUGUUGUUGAUUGUUUAUUUUGAUAACAAAACCCUAAAAGGGAAGGUUCCUUAAAUAGCAUCUACUGAGACUCAAUACAAAACGCAGCAUUUCGAUAACCCAAAAGUAAAACGACACAGUUGGCGAGCUGUCUUUCUGUGCCGAGCUGGCGAGCUGUCUUUCUGUGCCUUAGCCACUUUUAAAUAGAAGCUUCCUCAGGAACUUCUCACGAGCUCUGCCUUUCCUUCCAUUUGAUUUCGCCCUUCUUCUCACACCAGCCAACGUCACCUGUAACCUAUCAAUGCUCCCGCGCAGAAGACUGACCUUGUCCUCAAGGUCGAAGUCCGGGUACUGCUGCACCAAAGUGAGGAGCGGCUCCCAAGUUGAUUCCAAGGUUGAUAAUCCAGACCACUGUACCAGCACCUCUGGUCCUGAAUUUGUGUUGCUCUGUCGGAUAUCUAGCAGCUUCUCAGGUCCUGUGUUCCAUUCCAGUGUGGGUGAUAGUAUCUUGGGAAGUUCCUGCGGGGUGAAUGACGGAGGUACAGCCCUUUUCAGUUGAGAGACAUGGAACACCGGGUGAAUUGUGCUGUGUUCGGGUAGUUGGAGCUUGUAAGCGACCUGACCUAUGCGGUGCAGCACUUUAAAUGGACCGAAGUAGCGCUGGGACAGCUUUUCAUUCUUCCUAUGAGCCACAGAACUUUGCCUAUAAGGACGCAGCUUCAAGUAAACCCAUUCAUCAAUUUCAAACGCUACAUCACGUCGACUUUUAUCAGCAGCCUUUUUCAUUUGAGCUUGAGCUAUCUCCAAGUUCUCUCUUAAUUCAACCAGCAUUCCAUCCUUAUCCUUAAGUAACUCCUCUACAUUCGCAUUAUUGGUUGGAAUAUCGCCAUACCUGAGCAGAACUGGUGGUUCUCUACCAUAGACUGCUUGAAAGGGAGUGGUUUUGGUGGCUGAAUGGUACGAGGUGUUGUACCAGUAUUCUGCCCAAGGUAACCACUGAAACCACGAUGUAGGCCUCCUCCCUGCAAAGCAUCGCAAAUAAGACUCAAGACAUCUGUUAACAACCUCGGUCUGCCCAUCAGUUUGUGGGUGAUAGGCUGUACUCUUCUGUAGCCCCGUGCCCUGCAGCUUAAACAACUCAGACCAGAAUCCGCUCAGGAAAAUCCUGUCCCUGUCCGAAACCAGUGUGUUUGGGAAGCCAUGUAGCUUGACUACAUCUCUUAUGAAGGCCUCAACUACAGUCUUGGCAGUGAAUGGAUGUUUAAGUGGAAUGAAAUGACUAUACUUACUUAAUCUAUCCACCACUACCAAUAUACAGUUAAACCUGUUAGAGCUUGGCAACCCUUCUACAAAGUCCAAGCUGACAUCACUCCAAAUCUGUUGUGGAAUAGGGAGAGGUGAUAGUAAACCGGCUGGAGAGAGGGUAGAGUAUUUAUUCUCUUGACAGAUUUGGCAUCCCUUGAUGUAGUUAACCACGUCUUUCCGCAACCCUCUCCAGUAUACUUCACUUGUGAGUCGUUUGAAUGUCUUAAGGGCACCUUCAUGACCUCCAAUAGGACUGGUGUGGAACUUCUCUAGCAUCUUUGGAAUGAAGGGAGAUCCUACAGGAAUUACCAAACAGCCUUUUCUGUAAAUCAAGCCAUCUGCCACAGUGAAGUCAGAAUCAUGGUGGUCCCCUUGUGCCCAGUUCUUAAGUAUCUGGCUCAACUCAUGAUCCUGCUGAAUUUCUGCCUUUAGUGCAGUCAAGUCGAUAGUAGGAGGACCAGUUAUAGUGAGCUGUGAGAGAGCCUCAGUUGGAGGUCUCCUUGAGAGUGCAUCAGCUACCUUAUUGUCAACUCCUGGUUUAUAUUCGAUCCUAUACUUCAGUCCACUCAACUUAGACGCCCAUCUCUGCUGUAUUGUGGACACCGACUUCUGUUCCAACAAAUGUCUGAGGCUGCGUUGAUCUGUCUUGAUAAUGAAUUCUUUACUUGAUAGGUAAUGCUUCCACUUUGUGACAGCUUUCACUAUGGCUAACAGUUCACGUUCAUAAACUGACCUUAUUCUGCCUUGACUGGAGAAGGCUUGGCUGAGAAAUGCAAUAAGCCUCUUAUUCUGUGACAGUACUGCUCCAAUCCCCAUCCCUGAUGCAUCCGUUUCCACAGUAAACUCCUGCUGGAAAUCUGGUAACACUAGCACAGGUAGUGCUGAAACAGCUGCUUUGAGAGCCUGAAAUGCAGAAGUAGCUGCCUCAUUCCAAUCAAAACUGUUCUUUUUUAACUGAUCUCUGAGUGGUCUGGCGAUUUGGCCGUAAUUCUUGACAAAUCGGCGAUAGUAGCCAGUGAAUCCUAGGAAGCCUCUUAACUCAGUCACAGAUUUAGGUAAAGGCCACUGGAGCAUUGCUUCCACCUUUUCUGGAUCUGUUGCGACUCCUUGCUCAGAGAUAAUGUGUCCCAAAUAUGAGAUCCUAGUGCUUCCAAAUGUGCACUUUUUAAAAUUGGCAUAGAACUGAUGAAGAUGCAGUAGCUGUAAGACGGUUUCCAAAUGCUUCAAAUGUGUCUUCAUAUCAGGACUAUAAACUAGUAUAUCAUCGAAGAAAACCAAGACGAACUUUCGCAAGUAUGGCCUGAAUAGGUCAUUCAUGACGCUUUGAAAGGUGGAGGGGGCGUUGGUCAAGCCAAAUGGCAUUACCAGAAAUUCAUAAUGGCCCUCAUGUGUCUUGAAGGCAGUCUUCUCCACAUCACUCAGUUUCAUCCUUAUCUGGAAAUAGCCUGAUUUAAGAUCCAACUUUGAAAACACUGUGGCUCCUUUCAGUUCAUCCAAUAGCUCUUCUAUAACAGGAAUCGGAUACUUAUCGGGUAUUGUAGCUUCAUUCAAUGCUCGAUAAUCAACGCAGAAGCGCCAUCCUCCAUCUUUCUUUUUCACUAGGAGAACUGGACUUGAAUAUGGACUCACGCUAGGUCUUAUAAUCUGAGCAUUCAACAUUUCACGCACAAGCUUCUCUAUCUCAUUCUUUUGAGCAAAAGAAUACCUGUAUGGUCGGAUAUUGACUGGUGAAGACCCUUCUUGUAAGGUAAUGGCGUGUUCUCUGUUGCGAACUGGUGGCAAUAGCUGUGGAGUUUGAAAAACCCCUUGGUACUGAUCCAAAAGCCUCUGGAUUGCAGGCUGCAAGGCUGUUUGCUCUUCCUGUUUCUUGCUUUCAAACAAAGAUGCUAGUUCCAAGAGAUAUGCAGUUCCAGUGUAUUUGAUAACUCUUUCCAUAGACCUCAUCGAAAUUUGUCCUCUACAUAGAUCCGGGUCGCCGUAUAAGGAUACCCAUGUGCGACCUAUCUGCCAACUGAUCCUCAAAUCUCUCCAGUUGGCUCUUGUUUCUCCUAGUCCUGCCAACCAAGAAAAUCCCAGAACCAAAUCCAAAUCUCCCAAGUCAAAUAAGUAGUAGUCUUGUACAAACUCAAUUCCUUGGACCUCUAGUGGUAUAUCGACACACUUCCCACUACUUUUGAUGAUUCUGCCUCCACCAACUUUAACUCCAAAACUGCGAGUUUGAGUCACUAACCAUCCUUUCUCUCUUACCAAAGCCUCACUAAUGAAGUUGCAAGUUGCUCCUGAAUCAACCAAUAACACCACUUUGGUGUUGCCAAUGUAUCCCCUCAUUUUCAUUGACUGCUCUUGAGACUCAUCAUUCAAGGAGCUGAGUGUCAUUACCUUGAAACCUUCUGCAGGUUCUGGAUCCCCUUCUUCUUCUGUCAGUGGUUCAUUCAACUCUUCAAUUAGAGGACUCUCCUCUUCAACCUCUUCUGUUAUGGCUAGACCCUUGAGCUUUUGUGGUUUGCAUUUAUGGCCUUGAAACCAUCUAUCUCCACAGUAGCGGCACGGGUUUGAGUUCCUGGCUUCCCCACUGCCUGAAGCACGAGUUGUAUCCCUACUAGGAAUGAAGGGUUGUCUCGUUGGAGCACGGUCUACCACUCUAGAUCCUGUGGAGACCUGAUUGUUGAAUGGAGCUGUGUUGGUUCUAGCUUGAUUUCGCACUUGGUAACUAACAGCAUUCCGCUCUUGUGACUCAAUGAGUUUAGCUAUCUCAACAAUAUCUGCAAGAUUCACUGGCCUACAGCGAACUACCUGGUCUCGAAGACUUCUUCUCAGUCCAUUGAGGAAUGCAGAUUCCAAUAUGUCAGAUGUGACAUGGGGUAAGUCGACUGUGAGCUCUUCAAAACGUUCUCUGUAUUCCUCCACGGUUCCUGUUUGUCUCACGUUGAGGAGAUGAUCCACAGCAGAACUGCCUCUGCUUGGUCGAAAACGUAACAUGAACUUUUCUUGAAAUUCCCUCCAGGUAUAGAUUUGUUCUCUGUCCUUAGAGCAGCGCCACCAUGUAACUGAUGCUCCUGUUAAACAAGACACAGCCUUUUCCAGUUUUUCUUCCUCUAGGGUGCGAUUGGAUAAGAAGCACUGUUCUAGCCGGAACAACCAAUCGUCGGCAUUGCCUCCUUCAUAAGCCGGAUAAUCCACAGUCCUACGCGGGGCUGCUUCAAACCGAGGUUGAUGUGGCGCAGAUUGAGGCGGAAACGUUUGUGUUUGGAAGGUUGGAGUAGUCUGAAACCCCGUGGAAGGAUUAGAUGGAAAACCUGAAGAUGAUGGAAGACCCGUGGAGGCAUUCAGCUGAAACCCUGGUGGUUCUAAUGGUGACGAGUGAAAGCGACGCGGUUCGAAGGGUGAAGCUGGAAGUCGAGGUAUCUCUGAAGUCGACGCCUGGUAUCGCGACUGGUCAAAGAGUAAGGGCCGAGGGUGUGUGUCCCGUUGAUUUGUGCCGGAAAACAGAGUCUCUCUGUUCUGUACCUCCAAGUGUUGAGGAUGAGAGGUGUAGACUGGUAACGCCGGAGCUGGAGAAGAAAAACGGACUCCUCUAUUCGGUCCUUCCAGAUGUUGUGGGUANNNNNNNNNNNNNNNNNNNNNNNNNNNNNNNNNNNNNNNNNNNNNNNNNNNNNNNNNNNNNNNNNNNNNNNNNNNNNNNNNNNNNNNNNNNNNNNNNNNNAGCUCUCUUUGGGCUUUCCGAAAAGGUAUCACAUGCCAAGUUUGGCUUCACGGUCUAAACCUUAUAGACUCAUACAUUUUUCACAAAAAAAAGAAGAGAAAAACAAAAAAAAAGAGUGAUUAAACACGAGGACUUUCCUGGAGGUCACCCAUCCUAGUACUACUCUCGCCCAAGCACUCUUAACUGCGAAGUUCUGAUGGGAUCUGGUGCAUUAGUGCUGGUAUGAACGCAUCUGUUACUACAUGCAAUGCAAUCGUAUGUAUUCUUUUUUGAAGAUUUUAUGAUUCAUUUACCGUGGGUCCCACCAGCUAUGUAGGAAUAACCUAUCUUAUUUAUAAAAGCUUUGAUACAUGCAAAAUAUUCGAAAACAAUGUCCGAACAUAUAAUGUUCGCCCCAAAAUAUAGCAAAGACCACAAAAAUGCCAUAAAAAGUACAUUAAGGUCAAAAUUUGGAGUAGGAAAAAAAUCAAUAGGAGAAUUCCAUUUUCCUUCCCUCAUUCAUCGGAGAGCUCUCUUUGGGCAUUCCAAAAAGGUAUCACAUGCCAAGUUUGGCCUCACGGUCUAAAAGUUAUAGAGUAUUACAUUUUUAACAAAAAAAAAAAGAGAAAAACCGAAAAAAAGAGGGAUGCAACACGAAGACUUUUCUGGAGGUCACCCAUCCUAGUACUACUCUCCCCCAAGCACGCUUAACUGUGGUGUUCUGAUAGGAUCAAGUGCAUUAGUGCUGGUAUGAUCGCAUCAGUUACUACAUGCAAUGCAAUCAUAUAUAUUCUUUUUUGAAGACUUUAUGAUCCAUUUGCCGUAGGUCCCACCAGCUAUGUAGGAAUACCCUAUCUUGUUUAUAAGAGCUUUGAUACAUGCAAAAUAUUCGAAAACAAUGUCCGAACAUAUAAUUUUUGUCCCGUAAUAUAGCAAAGAUCACGAAAAGGUCAGAAAAAAUAUAUUUCGGUCAAAAUUUGGAGUAGAAAAAAAGCCCUUCCUCAUUCAUUGGACAGCUCUCUUUGGGCUUUCCGAAAAGGUAUCACAUGCCAAGUUUGGCCUCACGGUCUAAACCUUAUAGACUCAUACAUUUUUCAUAAAAAAAAGAAGAGAAAAACAAAAAAAAAAAGAGUGAUUAAACACGAGGACUUUCCUGGAGGUCACCCAUCCUAGUACUACUCUCGCCCAAGCACGCUUAACUACGAAGUUCCGAUGGGAUCUGAUGCAUUAGUGCUGGUAUGAUCGCAUCUGUUACUACAUGCAAUGCAAUCGUAUCUAUUCUUUUUUGAAGAUUUUAUGAUUCAUUUACUGUGGGUCCCACCAGCUAUGUAGGAAUAACCUAUCUUAUUUAUAAAAGCUUUGAUACAUGCAAAAUAUUGGAAAACAAUGUCCGAACAUAUAAUGUUCGCCCCAAAAUAUAGCAAAGACCACAAAAAUGCCAUAAAAAGUACAUUAAGGUCAAAAUUUGGAGUAGGAAAAAAAUCAAUAGGAGAAUUCCAUUUUCCUUCCCUCAUUCAUCGGAGAGCUCUCUUUGGGCAUUCCAAAAAGGUAUCACAUGCCAAGUUUGGCCUCACGGUCUAAAAGUUAUAGAGUAAUACAUUUUUAACAAAAAAAAAAAAGAAAAAAACCGAAAACAAAGAGGGAUGCAACACGAAGACUUUCCUGGAGGUCACCCAUCCUAGUACUACUCUCACCCAAGCACACUUAACUGUGGUGUUCUGAUAGGAUCAAGUGCAUUAGUGCUGGUAUGAUCGCAUCAGUUACUACAUGCAAUGCAAUCGUAUCUAUUAUUUUUUGAAGACUUUAUGAUCCAUUUGCCGUGGGUCCCACCAGCUAUGUAGGAAUACCCUAUCUUGUUUAUAAGAGCUUUGAUACAUCCAAAAUAUUCGAAAACAAUGUUGGAACGUAUAAGUUUUGCCCAGUAAUAUAGCAAAGAUCACGAAAAGGCCACAAAAAGUACAUUAAGGUAAAAAUUUAGAGUAGGAAACAAAAACAAUAGGAGAAUUCCAUUUUCCUUCCUCAAUCAUCGGAGAGUUCUUUUUGGGCUUUCCAAAAAGGUAUCACAUGCCAAGUUUGGCCUCACGGUCUAAAAGUUAUAGAGUAAUACAUUUUUAACAAAAAAAAAAAGAAAAAAACCGAAAACAAAGAGGGAUGCAACACGAAGACUUUCCUGGAGGUCACCUAUCCUAGUACUACUCUCGCCCAAGCACACUUAACUGUGGUGUUCUGAUAGGAUCAAGUGCAUUAGUGCUGGUAUGAUCGCAUCAGUUACUACAUGCAAUGCAAUCGUAUCUAUUAUUUUUUGAAGACUUUAUGAUCCAUUUGCCGUGGGUCCCACCAGCUAUGUAGGAAUACCCAAUCUUGUUUAUAAGAGCUUUGAUACAUCCAAAAUAUUCGAAAACAAUGUUGGAACGUAUAAGUUUUGCCCAGUAAUAUAGCAAAGAUCACGAAAAGGCCACAAAAAGUACAUUAAGGUAAAAAUUUAGAGUAGGAAACAAAAACAAUAGGAGAAUUCCAUUUUCCUUCCUCAAUCAUCGGAGAGUUCUUUUUGGGCUUUCCAAAAAGGUAUCACAUGCCAAGUUUGGCCUCACGGUCUAAAAGUUAUAGAGUCAUACAUUUUUAACAAAAAAGAGGGAUUUAACACGAGGACUUUCCGAGAGGUAACCCAUCCUAGUAGUACACUCGCCCAAGCACCCUUAACUACGGAGUUCUAAUGGGAUACGGUGCAUUAGUGCUCGUAUGAUCGCAUGUGUUACUACAUGCAAUGUAAUCGUAUCUAUUCUUUUUUAAAGACUUUAUGAUCCAUUUGCCGUGGGUCCCACCAGCUAUGUAGGAAUAUCCUAUAUUCUUUAUAAGAGCUUUGAUACAUGCAAAAUAUUCGAAAACAAUGUCCGAACAUAUAAUUUCCCCCCCGUAAUAUAGCAAAGAUCACGAAAAGGCCCAAAAAAGUACAUUAAGUUUAAAAUUUGGAGUAGAAAAAAAACCAAUAGAAAAAUUCCAUUUUCCUUCCUCAGUCAUCGAAGAGCUCUCUUUGGGCUUUCUGAAAAGGUAUCACAUGCCAAGUUUGGCCUCACGGUCUAAAAGUUAUAGAGUCAUACAUUUUUAACAAAACAAAAAGAGAAAAACCGAAAAAAACAGGGAUGCAACACGAGGACUUUCCUGGAGGUCUCCCAUCCUAGUACUACUCUCGCCCAAGCACCCUUAACUGCGUAGUUCUGAUGGGAUCCGAUGCAUUAGUGCUGGUAUGAUCGCAUCUGUUACUACAUGCAAUGUAAUCGUAUCUAUUCUUUUUUAAAGACUUUAUGAUCCAUUUGCCGUGGGUCCCACCAGCUAUGUAGGAAUACCCUAUCUUCUUAAUAAGAGCCUUGAUAAAUGCAAAAUAUUGGAAAACAAUGUCCGAACAUAUAAUGCCCCCCCCCCCGUAAUAUAGCAAAGAUCACGAAAAUGCCCAAAAAAGUACAUUUAGGUCAAAAUUUGAGUAGAAAAAAAAACAAUAGAAGAAUUCCAUUUUCCUUCCUCAUUUAUCGGAGAGCUCUCUUUGGGCUUUCCGAAAAGGUAUCACAUGACAAGUUUGGCCUCACGGUCUAAAAGAUAUAGAGUCAUACAUUAUUAACAAAACAAAAUAGAGAAAAACCGAAAAAAAAGAGGGAUGCAACGCGAGGACUUUCCGGGAGGUAAUCUAUCCUAGUACUACUCUCGCCCAAGCACCCUUACCUGCGGAGUUCUGAUGGGAUCCGGUGCAGUAGUGCUGGUAUGAUCGCAUGUGUUACUACAUGCAAUGCAAUCAUAUAUAUUCUUUUUUGAAGACUUUAUGAUCCAUUUGCCGUAGGUCCCACCAGCUAUGUAGGAAUACCCUAUCUUGUUUAUAAGAGCUUUGAUACAUGCAAAAUAUUCGAAAACAAUGUCCGAACAUAUAAUUUUUGUCCCGUAAUAUAGCAAAGAUCACGAAAAGGCCAGAAAAAAUACAUUUCGGUCAAAAUUUGGAGUAGAAAAAAACCCCUUCCUCAUUCAUUGGACAGCUCUCUUUGGGCUUUCCGAAAAGGUAUCACAUGCCAAGUUUGGUCUCACGGUUUAAAAGUUAUAGAGUCAUACAUUUUUCACAAAAAAAAGAAGAGAAAAAACAAAAAAAAGAGUGAUGAAACACGAGGACUUUCCUAGAGGUCACCCAUCCUAGUACUACUCUCGCCCAAGCACGCGUAACUGCGAAGUUCUGAUGGGAUCUGGUGCAUUAGUGCUGGUAUGAUCGCAUCUGUUACUACAUGCAAUGCAAUCGUAUCUAUUCUUUUUUGAAGAUUUUAUGAUCCAUUUGCAGUGGGUCCCACCAGCUAUGUAGGAAUACCCUAUCUUGUUUAUAAGAGCUUUGAUACAUGCAAAAUCUUCGAAAACAAUGUCCGAACAUAUAAUUUUCGCCCCGUAAUAUAGCAAAGAUCACGAAAAUGCCAAAAUAGUACAUUAAGGUCAAAAUUUGGAGUAGGAAAAAAAACCCUUCAUCAUUCAUUGGAGAGCUCUCUCUGGGCUUUCCGAAAAGGUAUCACAUGCCAAGUUUGGCCUCACGGUCUAAAAGUUAUAAAGUCAUACAUUUUUAACAAAAAAAAAAGAGAAAAACCGAAAAAAAGAGUUAUGUAACACGAGGACUUUCCUGGAGGUCACCCGUCCUAGUACUACUCUCGCCCAAACACGCUUAACUGUGGUGUUCUGAUAGGAUCAAGUGCAUUAGUGCUGGUAUGAUCGCAUCAGUUACUACAUGCAAUGCAAUCAUAUAUAUUCUUUUUUGAAAACUUUAUGAUCCAUUUGCCGUAGGUCCCACCAGCUAUGUCGGAAUACCCUAUCUUGUUUAUAAGAGCUUUGAUACAUGCAAAAUAUUCGAAAACAAUGUCCGAACAUAUAAUUUUUGUCCCGUAAUAUAGCAAAGAUCACGAAAAGGCCAAAAAAAAUACAUUUCGGUCAAAAUUUGGAGUAGAAAAAAACCCCUUCCUCAUUCAUUCGACAACUCUCUUUGGGCUUUCCGAAAAGGUAUCACAUGCCAAGUUUGGUCUCACGGUCUAAAAGUUAUAGAGUCAUACAUUUUUCACAAAAAAAAGAAGAGAAAAAACCAAAAAANAGAGUGAUGAAACACGAGGACUUUCCUGGAGGUCACUCAUGCUAGUACUACUCUCGCCCAAGCACGCUUAACUGCGAAGUUCUGAUGGGAUCNNNNNNNNNNNNNNNNNNNNNNNNNNNNNNNNNNNNNNNNNNNNNNNNNNNNNNNNNNNNNNNNNNNNNNNNNNNNNNNNNNNNNNNNNNNNNNNNNNNNUUAUGAUCCAUUUGCCGUGGGUCCCACCAGCUAUGUAGGAAUACCCUAUCUUCUUUAUAAGAGCUUUGAUACAUGGAAAAUAUUGGAAAACAAUGUCCGAACAUAUAAUUUCCCCCCCGUAAUAUAGCAAAGAUCACGAAAAGGCCCGAAAAAGUACAUUUAGUUUAAAAUUUGGAGUAGAAAAAAAAACAAUAGAAAAAAUCCAAUUUCCUCCCUCGUUCAUCGGAGAGCUCUCUUUGGGCUUUCCAAAAAGGUAUCACAAGACAAGUUUGGCCUCACCGUCUAAAAGUUAUAGAGUCAUACAUUUUUAACAAAACAAAAUAGAGAAAAACGGAAAAAAGAGGGAUGCAACAUGAGGACUUUCCGGGAGGUCACCCAUCCUAGUACUACUCUCGUCCAAGGACCCUUAACUGCGAAGUUCUGAUGGGAUCCGUUGCAUUAGUGCUGGUAUGAUCGCAUGUGUUACUACAUGCAAUGUAAUCGUAUCUAUUCUUUUUUAAAGACUUUAUGAUCCAUUUGCCGUGGGUCCCACCAGCUAUGUAGGAAAACCCAAUCUUCUUUAUAAGAGCUUUGAUACAUGCAAAAUAUUGGAAAACAAUGUCCGAACAUAUAAUUUUCCCCCAUAAUAUAGCAAAGAUCACGAAAAGGCCCGAAAAAGUACAUUUAGUUCAAAAUUUGGAGUAGAAAAAAAGGCAGUAAAAGAAUUCCAUUUUCCUUCCUCAGUGAUCGGAGAGCUCUCUUUGGACUUUCCGAAAAGGUAUCACAUGCCAAGUUUGGCCUCACGGUCUAAAAGUUAUAGAGUCAUACAUUUUUAACAAAACAAAAUAGAGAAAAACGGAAAAAAGAGGGAUGCAACACGAGGACUUUCCGGGAGGUCACCCAUCCUAGUACUACUUUCGCCCAAGCACCCUUAACUGCGGAGUUCUGAUGGGAUCCGGUGCAUUAGUGCUGGUAUGAUCGCAUGUGUUACUACAUGCAAUGUAAUCAUAUUUCUUGUUAUUUAAAGAUUUUAUGAUCCAUUUGCCGUGGGUCCCACCAGCUAUGUAGGAAUACCUUAUCUUCUUUAUAGGAGCUUUGAUACAUGCAAAAUAUUGGAAAACAAUAUCCGAACAUAUAUCUUUCCCCCCGUAAUAUAGCAAAGAUCGCGAAAAGGCCCGAAAAAGUACAUUUAGGUCAAAAUUUGGAGUAGAAAAAAAAAGCAAUAGAAGAAUUCCAUUUUCCUUCCUCAGUCAUCGGAGAGCUCUCUUUGGGCUUUCCGAAAAGGUAUCACAUGCCAAGUUUGGCCUCAUGGUCUAAAAGUUAUAGAGCCAUACAUUUUUAACAAAACAAAAUAGAGAAAAACCAAAAAAAGAGAGGGAUGCAACACGAGGACUUUCCGGGAGGUCACCCAUCCUAGUACUACUCUCGCCCAAGCACCCUUAACUGCGGAGUUCUGAUGGGAUCCAGUGCAUUAGUGCUGGUAUGAUCGCAUGUGUUACUACAUGCAAUGUAAUCGUAUCUAUUCUUUUUUAAAGAUUAUAUGAUCCAUUUGCCGUGGGUCCCACCAGCUAUGUAGGAAUACCCUAUCUUCUUUAUAAGAGCUUUGAUACAUGCAAAAUAUUGGAAAACAAUGUCCGAACAUAUAAUUUUCCCCCCGUAAUAUAGCAAAGAUCACGAAAAGGCCCAAAAAAGUACAUUUAGGUCAAAAUUUGGAGUUGAAAAAAAACAAAAAGAAGAAUUCCAUUUUCCUUCCUCAUUCAUUGGAGAGCUCUCUUUGGGCUUUCCGAAAAGGUAUCACAUGCCAUGUUUAGCCUCACGGUCUAAAAGUUAUAGAGUCAUACAUUUUUAACAAAACAAAAUAGAGAAAAACCAAAAAAACGAGGGAUGCAACACGAGGACUUUCUGGGAAGUCACCUAUCCUAGUACUACUCUCGCCCAAGCACCCUUAACUGCGGAGUUCUGAUGGGAUCCGGUGCAUUAGUGCUGGUAUGAUUGCAUGUGUUACUACAUGCAAUGUAAUCGUAUCUAAUGCUUUUAAAGACUUUAUGAUCCAUUUGCCGUGGGUCCCCACAAGCUAAGUAGGAAUACCCUAUCUUCUUUAUAAGAGUUUUCAUACAUGCAAAAUAUGGAAAACAAUGUCCGAACAUAUAUUUUCCCCCCGUAAUAUAGCAAAGAUCACGAAAAGGCCCACAAAAAGUACAUUUAGUUCAAAAUUUGGAGUAGAAAAAAAAACAAUAGAAAAGUUCCAAUUUCNNNNNNNNNNNNNNNNNNNNNNNNNNNNNNNNNNNNNNNNNNNNNNNNNNGGGUCCCACCAGCUACGUAGGAAUACCCUAUCUUGUUUAUAAGAGCUUUGAUACAUGCAAAAUAUUCGAAAACAAUGUCCGAACAUAUAAUUUUCGUCCCGUAAUAUAGCAAAGAUCACAAAAAGGCCAGAAAGAGUACAUUUACGUCAAAAUUUGGAUAGAAAAAAAACGAAUAGAAGAAUUCCAUUUUGACUUCCUCAUUCAUCGGAAAGCUCUCUUUGGGCUUUCCGAAAAGGUAUCACAUGCCAAGUUUGGAAUCACGGUUUAAAAGUUAUAGAGUCAUACAUUUUUAACAAAAAAUAAAGAGAAAACCCGAAAAAUGAGGGAUGCAACACGAGGACUUUUCGGGAGGUCACCCAUCGUAGUACUACUCUCGCCCAAGCACGCUUAACUGUAGAGUUCUGAUGGGAUCCGGUUCAUUAUUGCUGGUAUGAUCGCAUCCGUUACUACAUGCAAUGCAAUCGUAUCUAUUCUUUUUUGAAGACUUUAUGAUCCAUUUGCCGUGGGUCCCACCAGCUAUGUUGGAAUACCCUAUCUUGUUUAUAAGAGCUUUGUUACAUGCAAAAUAUUCGAAAACAAUGUCCGAACAUAUAAUAUUUGCCCCGUAAUAUAGCAAAGAUCACGAAAAGGCCAGAAAACCUAUAUUAAGUUCAAAAUUUGGAGUAGAAAAAAACCAAUAGAAGAAUUCCAUUUUCCUUCCUCACUCAUCGGAGAGCUCUCUUUGGGGCUUUCCGAAAAGGUAUCACAUGCAAAGUUUGGCCUCACAGGCUAAAAGUUAUAGAGUCGUACAUUUUUAACAAAAAAAAAAAGAGAAAAGCCGAAAAAAAGAAGGAUGCAACACAAGGACUUUCCGGGAGGUCAGCCAUCCUAAUAUUACUCUCGCCCAAGCACGCUUAACUGUAGAGUUCUGAUGGGAUCCGGUGCAUUAGUGCUGGUAUGAUCGCAUCUGUUACUACAUGCAAUGCAAUCGUAUCUAUUCUUUUUUUAAGACUUUAUGAUCCAUUUACCGUGGGUCCCACCAGCUACGUAGGAAUAACCUAUCUUAUUUAUAAGAGCUUUGAUACAUGCAAAAUAUUCGAAAACAAUGUCCGAACAUAUAAUUUUCGUCCCGUAAUAUAGCAAAGAUCACAAAAAGGCCAGAAAGAGUACAUUAAGGUCAAAAUUUUGGAGUAGAAAAAAAAACCCUUCCUCAUUCAUUAAAGAGCUCUCUUUGGCAUUUCCGAAAAGGUGUCACAUGCCAAGUUCGGCCUCACGGUCUAAAAGUUAUAGAGUCAUACAUUGUUAACAAAAAAAAAGAGAAAAACCGAUUAAAAGAGUUAUGCAACACAAGGACUUUCCUGGAGGUCACCCGUCCUAGUACUACUCUCGCCCAAGCACGCUUAAAUGCGGAGUUCUGAUGGGAUCCGGUCCAUGAGUGGUGGUAUGAUCACAUCCGUUACUACAUGCAAUGCAAUCGUAUCUAUUAUUUUUUGAAGACUUUAUGAUCCAUUUGCCGUGGGUCCCACCAGCUAUGUAGGAAUACCCUAUCUUGUUUAUAAGAGCUUUGAUACAUCCAAAAUAUUCGAAAACAAUGUUGGAACGUAUAAGUUUCGCUCAGUAAUAUAGCAAAGAUCACGAAAAGGCCACAAAAAGUACAUUAAGGUAAAAAUUUAGAGUAGGAAAAAAAAACAAUAGGAGAAUUCCAUGUUCCUUCCUCAAUCAUCGGAGAGCUCUCUUUGGGCUUUCCAAAAAGGUAUCACAUGCCAAGUUUGGCCUCACGGUCUAAAAGUUAUAGAGUCAUACAUUUUUAACAAAAAAAAAUAGAGAAAAACCAAAAAAAAGAGGGAUGCAACACGAAGACUUUCCUGGAGGUCACCCAUCCUAGUACUACUCUCGCCCAAGCACGCUUAACUGCGGUGUUCUGAUAGGAUCAAGUGCAUUAGUGCUGGUAGGAUCGCAUUCGUUACUACAUGCAAUGCAAUUAUAUAUAUUCUUUUUUGAAGACUUUAUGAUCCAUUUGCGGUAGGUCCCACCAGCUAUGUAGGAAUACCCUAUCUUGCUUAUAAGAGUUUUGAUACAUGCAAAAAUAUUCGAAAACAAUGUCCGAACAUAUAAUUUUUGUCCCGUAAUAUAACAAAGAUCACGAAAAGGCCAAAAAUAGUACAUUUCGGUCAAAACAUGGAGCAGAAAAAAAACCCCUUCCUCAUUCAUCGGAGAGCUCUCAUUGGGCUUUCCGAAAAGAUAUCACAUGCAAAGUUUGGCCUCACGGUUUAAAAGUUAUAGAGUCAAAUAUUUUUAACAAAAAAAAGAGAGAAAAACCGAAAACAAAGAGGGAUGCAACACGAGGACUUUCCGGAAGGUCACCCAUCCUAGUACUACUCUAGCCCAAGCACGCUUAACCGCGGAGUUCUGAUAGGAUCCGGUGCAUUAGUGCUGGUAUGAUCGCAUCAGUUACUACAUGCAAUGCAAUCAUAUAUAUUUUUUUUGAAGACUUUAUGAUCCAUUUGCCGUGGGUCCCACCAGCUAUGUAGGAAUACCUAUCUUGUUUAUAAGAGCUUUGAUACAUGCAAAAUAUUUGAAAACAAUGUCCGAACGUAUAAUCUUCGUCCCGUAAUAUAGCAAAGAUCACGAAAAGGCCAGAAAAAGUACAUUAAGGUCAAAAUUUUGACUAGAAAAAAAAAACAAUAGAAAAAUUCCAUUGUCCUUCCUCAUUCAUCGGAGAGUUCUCUUUGGGCUUUCCGAAAAGGUAUCACAUGCCAAGUUUGGCCUCACGGUCUAAAACUUAUAGAAUCAUACAUUCUUAACAAAAAAAAAAAAAAAACCGAAAAAAAGAAGAAUGCAACACAAGGACUUUCCAGGAGGUCAACCAUCCUAGUAGUACUCUCGCCCAAUCACGCUUAACUGCAGAGUUCUGAUGGGAUCCGGUGCAUUAGUGCUGGUAUGAUCGCAUCUGUUACUACAUGCAAUGCAAUCGUAUCUAUUCUUUUUUGAAGACUUUAUGAUCCAUUUGCCGUGGGUCCCACCAGCUAUGUAGGAAUACCUUAUCUUGUUUAUAAGAGCUUUGAUACAUGCAAAAUAUUCGAAUACAAUGUCUGAACGUAUAACUUUCGCCCCGUAAUAUAGCGAAGAUCACGAAAAGGCCCGAAAAAGUACAUUAAGGUCAAAAUUUCGAGUAGAAAUAAAAACCAAUAGAAGAAUUCCAAUUUCCUUCCUCAUUCAUUGGAGAGCUCUCUUUGGGCUUUCCGAAAAGGUAUCACAUGCGAAGUUUCGCCUCACAAUCUAAAAGUUAUAUAGUCAUACAUUUUUAACAAAACAAAUAGAGAAAAACCGAAAAAAAGAAUGAUACAACACAACGACUUUCCCGGAGGUCACCCAUCCUAAUACUAUUCUCGCCCAAGCAAGCUUAACUGCAGAGUAUUGAUGGGAUCUGAUGCAUAAGUGCUGAUAUGAUCGCAUCCGUUACUACAUGCAAUGCAAUCGUAUCUAUUCGUUUUUGAAGACUUUAUGAUCCAUUUGCCGUGGGUCCCACCAGCUAUGUAGGAAUACCCUAUCUUGUUUAUAAGAGCUUUGAUACAUGCAAAAAAUUGGAAAACAAUGUCUGAACAUAUAAUUUUUGUCCCGUAAUAUAGCAAAGAUCACGAAAAGGAUAGAAAAAGUACAUUAAGGUCAAAAUUUUGAGUAGAAAAAAAAUCAAUAGAAGGAUUCCAAUUUCCUUGCUCAUUCAUAUAGCUCUCUUUGGGCUUUCCGAAAAGGUAUCACAUGCAAAGUUUGGCCUCGCGGUCUAAAAGUUAUAGAGGUAUACUUUUUUACCAAAAAAAAAGAAGAAAAAAACCAAAAAAAAGAGGGAUUCAACACGAGGACUUUCUGGGAGGUCACUCAUCCUAUUACUACUCUCGCCCAAGCACGCUUAACUGCGGAGUUCUGAUAGGAUCCAGUGCAUUAGUGCGGGUAUGAUCACAUCCGUUACUACAUGCAAUGCAAUCGUAUAUAUUUUUUUUGAAGACUUUAUGAUCCAUUUGCCGUGGGUCUCACCAGCUAUAUAGGAAUACCCUAUCUUGUUUAUAAGAGCUUUGAUACAUGCAAAAUAUUUGAAAACAAUGUCCGAACGUAUAAUCUUCGUCCCGUAAUAUAGCAAAGAUCACUAAAAGGCUAGAAAAAGUACAUUAAGAUCAAAAUUUUGAGUAGAAAAAUAAACAAUAGAAAAAUUCCAUUGUCCUUCCUCAUUCAUCGGAGAGUUCUCUUUGGGCUUUCCGAAAAGGUAUCACAUGCCAAGUUUGGCCUCACGGUCUAAAACUUAUAGAAUCAUACAUUCUUAACAAAAAAAAAAGAGAAAAACCGAAAAAAAGAAGAAUUUAACACAAGGACUUUCCAGGAGGUCAACCAUCCUAGUAGUACUCUCGCCCAAUCACGCUUAACUGCAGAGUUCUGAUGGGAUCCGGUGCAUUAGUGCUGGUAUGAUCGCAUCUGUUACUACAUGCAAUGCAAUCGUAUCUGUUACUACAUGCAAUGCAAUCGUAUCUGUUACUACAUGCAAUGCAAUCGUAUCUAUUCUUUUUUGAAGACUUUAUGAUCCAUUUGCCGUGGGUCCCACCAGCUAUGUAGGAAUACCCUAUCUUGUUUAUAAGAGCUUUGAUACAUGCAAAAUAUUCGAAUACAAUGUCUAAACGUAUAAGUUUCGCCCCGUAAUAUAGCGAAGAUCACGAAAAGGCCCGAAAAAGUACAUUAAGGUCAAAAUUUGGAGUAGAAAUAAAAACCAAUAGAAGAAUUCCAAUUUCCUUCCUCAUUCAUUGGAGAGCUCUCUUUGGGCUUUCCGAAAAGGUAUCACAUGCGAAGUUUGGCCUCACAAUCUAAAAGUUAUAUAGUCAUACAUUUUUAACAAAACAAAUAGAGAAAAACCGAAAAAAAGAAUGAUACAACACAAGGACUUUCCGGGAGGUCACCCAUCCUAAUACUAUUCUCGCCCAAGCAAGCUUAACUGCAGAGUAUUGAUGGGAUCUGAUGCAUAAGGGCUGAUAUGAUCGCAUCCGUUACUACAAGCAAUGCAAUCGUAUCUAUUCGUUUUUGAAGACUUUAUGAUCCAUUUGCCGUGGGUCCCACCAGCUAUGUAGGAAUACCCUAUCUUGUUUAUAAGAGCUUUGAUACAUGCAAAAAAUUGGAAAACAAUGUCUGAACAUAUAAUUUUUGUCCCGUAAUAUAGCAAAGAUCACGAAAAGGAUAGAAAAAGUACAUUAAGGUCAAAAUUUUGAGUAGAAAAAAAAUCAAUAGAAGGAUUCCAAUUUCCUUCCUCAUUCAUAUAGCUCUCUUUGGGCUUUCCGAAAAGGUAUCACAUGCAAAGUUUGGCCCCGCGGUCUAAAAGUUAUAGAGGUAUACAUUUUUACCAAAAAAAAGAGGGAUUCAACACGAGGACUUUUUUNNNNNNNNNNNNNNNNNNNNNNNNNNNNNNNNNNNNNNNNNNNNNNNNNNUGCUGGUAUGAUCGCAUCAGUUACUACAUGCAAUGCAAUCAUAUAUAUUCUUUUUUGAAGACUUUAUGAUCCAUUUGCCGUAGGUCCCACCAGCUAUGUAGGAAUACCCUAUCUUGUUUAUAAGAGCUUUGAUACAUGCAAAAUAUUCGAAAACAAUGUCCGAACAUAUAAUUUUUGUCCCGUAAUAUAGCAAAGAUCACGAAAAGGCCAGAAAAAAUACAUUUCGGUCAAAAUUUGGAGUAGAAAAAAAGCCCUUCCUCAUUCAUUGGACAGCUCUCUUUGGGCUUUCCGAAAAGGUAUCACAUGCCAAGUUUGGCCUCACGGUCUAAACCUUAUAGACUCAUACAUUUUUCACAAAAAAAAGAAGAGAAAAACCAAAAAAAAGAGUGAUUAAACACGAGGAUUUUCCUGGAGGUCACCCAUCCUAGUACUACUCUCGCCCAAGCACGCUUAACUGCGAAGGUCUGAUGGGAUAUGGUGCAUUAGUGCUGGUAUGAUCGCAUCUGUUACUACAUGCAAUGCAAUCGUAUCUAUUCUUUUUUGAAGAUUUGAUGAUUCAUUUACCGUGGGUCCCACCAGCUAUGUAGGAAUAACCUAUCUUAUUUAUAAAAGCUUUGAUACAUGCAAAAUAUUCGAAAACAAUGUCCGAACAUAUAAUGUUCGCCCCAAAAUAUAGCAAAGACCACAAAAAUGCCAUAAAAAGUACAUUAAGGUCAAAAUUUGGAGUAGGAAAAAAAUCAAUAGGAGAAUUCCAUUUUCCUUCCCUCAUUCAUCAGAGAGCUCUCUUUGGGCAUUCCAAAAAGGUAUCACAUGCCAAGUUUGGCCUCACGGUCUAAAAGUUAUAGAGUAUUACAUUUUUAACAAAAAAAAAAGGGAAAAACCGAAAAAGAGGGAUGCAACACGAAGACUUUUCUGGAGGUCACCCAUUCUAGUACUACUCUCCCCCAAGCACGCUUAACUGUGGUGUUCUAAUAGGAUCAAGUGCAUUAGUGCUGGUAUGAUCGCAUCAGUUACUACAUGCAAUGCAAUCAUAUAUAUUCUUUUUUGAAGACUUUAUGAUCCAUUUGCCGUAGGUCCCACCAGCUAUGUAGGAAUACCCUAUCUUGUUUAUAAGAGCUUUGAUACAUGCAAAAUAUUCGAAAACAAUGUCCGAACAUAUAAUUUUUGUCCCGUAAUAUAGCAAAGAUCACGAAAAGGCCAGAAAAAAUACAUUUCGGUCAAAAUUUGGAGUAGAAAAAAAGCCCUUCCUCAUUCAUUGGACAGCUCUCUUUGGGCUUUCCGAAAAGGUAUCAUAUGCCAAGUUUGGCCUCACGGUCUAAACCUUAUAGACUCAUACAUUUUUCACAAAAAAAAGAAGAGAAAAACCAAAAAAAAGAGUGAUUAAACACGAGGACUUUCCUGGAGGUCAUCCAUCCUAGUACUACUCUCGCCCAAGCACGCUUAAUUGCGAAGUUCUGAUGGGAUCUGGUGCAUUAGUGCUGGUAUGAUCGCAUAUGUUACUACAUGCAAUGCAAUCGUAUCUAUUCUUUUUUGAAGAUUUUAUGAUUCAUUUACCGUGGGUACCACCAGCUAUGUAGGAAUAACCUAUCUUAUUUAUAAGAGCUUUGAUACAUGCAAAAUAUUCGAAAACAAUGUCCGAACAUAUAAUUUUUGUCCCGUAAUAUAGCAAAGAUCACGAAAAGGCCAGAAAAAAUACAUUUCGGUCAAAAUUUGGAGUAGAAAAAAACCCUUCCUCAUUCAUUGGACAGCUCUGUUUGAGCUUUCCGAAAAGGUAUCACAUGCCAAGUUUGGCCUCACGGUCUAAAAGUUAUAGAGUCAUACAUUUUUCACAAAAAAAAGAAGAGAAAAACCAAAAAAAAGAGUGAUGAAACACGAGGACUUUCCUGGAGGUCACCCAUCCUAGUACUACUCUCGCCCAAGCACGCGUAACUGCGAAGUUCUGAUGGGAUCUGGUGCAUUAGUGCUGGUAUGAUCGCAUCUGUUACUACAUGCAAUGCAAUCGUAUCUAUUCUUUUUUGAAGAUUUUAUGAUUCAUUUACCGUGGGUCCCACCAGCUAUGUAGGAAUAACCUAUCUUAUUUAUAAGAGCUUUGAUACAUGCAAAAUAUUGGAAAACAAUGUCCGAACAUAUAAUGUUCGCCCCAAAAUAUAGCAAAGACAACAAAAAUCCCAUAAAAAGUACAUUAAGGUCAAAAUUUGGAGUAGGAAAAAAAUCAAUAAGAGAAUUCCAUUUUCCUUCCCUCAUUCAUCGGAGAGGUCUCUUUGGGCAUUCCAAAAAGGUAUCACAUGCCAAGUUUGGCCUCACGGUCUAAAAGUUAUAGAGUAAUACAUUUUUAACAAAAAAAAAAGAGAAAAACCGAAAAAAAGAGGGAUGCAACACGAAGACUUUUCUGGAGGUCACCCAUCCUAGUACUACUCUCCCAAAGCACGCUUAACUGUGGUGUUCUGAUAGGAUCAAGUGCAUUAGUGCGGGUAUGAUCGCAUCAGUUACUACAUGCAAUGCAAUCAUAUAUAUUCUUUUUUGAAGACUUUAUGAUCCAUUUGCCGUAGGUCCCACCAGCUAUGUAGGAAUACCCUAUCUUGUUUAUAAGAGCUUUGAUACAUGCAAAAUAUUCGAAAACAAUGUCCGAACAUAUAAUUUUUGUCCCGUAAUAUAGCAAAGAUCACGAAAAGGCCAGGAAAAAUACAUUUCGGUCAAAAUUUGGAGUAGAAAAAAAACCCUUCCUCAUUCAUUGGACAGCUCUCUUUGGGCUUUCCGAAAAGGUAUCACAUGCCAAGUUUGGCCUCACGGUCUAAAAGUUAUAGAUUCAUACAUUUUUCACAAAAAAAAGAAGAGAAAAACCAAAAAAAAGAGGGAUGAAACACGAGGACUUUCCCAGAGGUCACCCAUCCUAGUACUACUCUCGCCCAAGCACGCUUAACUGCGAAGUUCUGAUGGGAUCUGGUGCAUUAGUGCUGGUAUGAUCGCAUCUGUUACUACAUGCAAUGCAAUCGUAUCUAUUCUUUUUUGAAGAUUUUAUGAUUCAUUUACCGUGGGUCCCACCAGCUAUGUAGGAAAACCUAUCUUAUUUAUAAGAUCUUUGAUACAUGCAAAAUAUUGGAAAACAAUGUCCGAACAUAUAAUGUUCGCCCCAAAAUAUAGCGAAGACCACAAAAAUGCCAUAAAAAGUACAUUAAGGUCAAAAUUUGGAGUAGGAAAAAAAUCAAUAGGAGAAUUCCAUUUUCCUUCCCUCAUUCAUCGGAGAGCUCUCUUUGGGCAUUCCAAAAAGGUAUCACAUGCCAAGUUUGGCCUCACGGUCUAAAAGUUAUAGAAUAUUACAUUUUUAACAAAAAAAAAGAGAAAAACCAAAAAAAAGAGGGAUGCAACACGAGGACUUUUCUGGAGGUCACCCAUCCUACUACUACUCUCGCCCAAGCACACUUAACUGCGGUGUUCUGAUAGGAUCAAGUGCAUUAGUGCUGGUAUGAUCGCAUCAGUUACUACAUGCAAUGCAAUCAUAUAUAUUCUUUUUUGAAGACUUUAUGAUCCAUUUGCCGUAGGUCCCACCAGCUAUGUAGGAAUACCCUAUCUUGUUUAUAAGAGCUUUGAUACAUGCAAAAUAUUCGAAAACAAUGUCCGAACAUAUAAUUUUUGUCCCGUAAUAUAGCAAAGAUCACGAAAAGGCCAGAAAAAAUACAUUUUGGUCAAAAUUUGGAGUAGAAAAAAAGCCCUUCCUCAUUCAUUGGACAGCUCUCUUUGGGCUUUCCGAAAAGGUAUCACAUGCCAAGUUUGGCCUCACGGUCUAAACCUUAUAGACUCAUACAUUUUUCACAAAAAAAAGAAGAGAAAAACCAAAAAAAAGAGUGAUUAAACACGAGGAUUUUCCUGGAGGUCACCCAUCCUAGUACUACUCUCGCCCAAGCACGCUUAACUGCGAAGGUCUGAUGGGAUAUGGUGCAUUAGUGCUGGUAUGAUCGCAUCUGUUACUACAUGCAAUGCAAUCGUAUCUAUUCUUUUUUGAAGAUUUGAUGAUUCAUUUACCGUGGGUCCCACCAGCUAUGUAGGAAUAACCUAUCUUAUUUAUAAAAGCUUUGAUACAUGCAAAAUAUUCGAAAACAAUGUCCGAACAUAUAAUGUUCGCCCCAAAAUAUAGCAAAGAUCACAAAAAUGCCAUAAAAAGUACAUUAAGGUCAAAAUUUGGAGUAGGAAAAAAAUCAAUAGGAGAAUUCCAUUUUCCUUCCCUCAUUCAUCGGAGAGCUCUCUUUGGGCAUUCCAAAAAGGUAUCACAUGCCAAGUUUGGCCUCACGGUCUAAAAGUUAUAGAGUAUUACAUUUUUAACAAAAAAAAAAGGGAAAAACCGAAAAAGAGGGAUGCAACACGAAGACUUUUCUGGAGGUCACCCAUCCUAGUACUACUCUCCCCCAAGCACGCUUAACUGUGGUGUUCUAAUAGGAUCAUGUGCAUUAGUGCUGGUAUGAUCGCAUCAGUUACUACAUGCAAUGCAAUCAUAUAUAUUCUUUUUUGAAGACUUUAUGAUCCAUUUGCCGUAGGUCCCACCAGCUAUGUAGGAAUACCCUAUCUUGUUUAUAAGAGCUUUGAUACAUGCAAAAUAUUCGAAAACAAUGUCCGAACAUAUAAUUUUUGUCCCGUAAUAUAGCAAAGAUCACGAAAAGGCCAGAAAAAAUACAUUUCGGUCAAAAUUUGGAGUAGAAAAAAAGCCCUUCCUCAUUCAUUGGACAGCUCUCUUUGGGCUUUCCGAAAAGGUAUCAUAUGCCAAGUUUGGCCUCACGGUCUAAACCUUAUAGACUCAUACAUUUUUCACAAAAAAAAGAAGAGAAAAACCAAAAAAAAGAGUGAUUAAACACGAGGACUUUCUUGGAGGUCAUCCAUCCUAGUACUACUCUCGCCCAAGCACGCUUAACUGCGAAGUUCUGAUGGGAUCUGGUGCAUUAGUGCUGGUAUGAUCGCAUCUGUUACUACAUGCAAUGCAAUCGUAUCUAUUCUUUUUUGAAGAUUUUAUGAUUCAUUUACCGUGGGUACCACCAGCUAUGUAGGAAUAACCUAUCUUAUUUAUAAGAGCUUUGAUACAUGCAAAAUAUUCGAAAACAAUGUCCGAACAUAUAAUUUUUGUCCCGUAAUAUAGCAAAGAUCACGAAAAGGCCAGAAAAAAUACAUUUUGGUCAAAAUUUGGAGUAGAAAAAAACCCUUCCUCAUUCAUUGGACAGCUCUGUUUGAGCUUUCCGAAAAGGUAUCACAUGCCAAGUUUGGCCUCACGGUCUAAAAGUUAUAGAGUCAUACAUUUUUCACAAAAAAAAAGAAGAGAAAAACCAAAAAAAAGAGUGAUGAAACACGAGGACUUUCCUGGAGGUCACCCAUCCUAGUACUACUCUCGCCCAAGCACGCGUAACUACGAAGUUCUGAUGGGAUCUGGUGCAUUAGUGCUGGUAUGAUCGCAUCUGUUACUACAUGCAAUGCAAUCGUAUCUAUUCUUUUUUGAAGAUUUUAUGAUUCAUUUACCGUGGGUCCCACCAGCUAUGUAGGAAUAACCUAUCUUAUUUAUAAGAGCUUUGAUACAUGCAAAAUAUUGGAAAACAAUGUCCGAACAUAUAAUGUUCGCCCCAAAAUAUAGCAAAGACAACAAAAAUGCCAUAAAAAGUACAUUAAGGUCAAAAUUUGGAGUAGGAAAAAAAUCAAUAAGAGAAUUCCAUUUUCCUUCCCUCAUUCAUCGGAGAGCUCUCUUUGGGCAUUCCAAAAAGGUAUCACAUGCCAAGUUUGGCCUCACGGUCUAAAAGUUAUAGAGUAGUACAUUUUUAACAAAAAAAAAAGAGAGAAACCGAAAAAAAGAGGGAUGCAACACGAAGACUUUUCUGGAGGUCACCCAUCCUAGUACUACUCUCCCAAAGCACGCUUAACUGUGGUGUUCUGAUAGGAUCAAGUGCAUUAGUGCGGGUAUGAUCGCAUCAGUUACUACAUGCAAUGCAAUCAUAUAUAUUCUUUUUUGAAGACUUUAUGAUCCAUUUGCCGUAGGUCCCACCAGCUAUGUAGGAAUACCCUAUCUUGUUUAUAAGAGCUUUGAUACAUGCAAAAUAUUCGAAAACAAUGUCCGAACAUAUAAUUUUUGUCCCGUAAUAUAGCAAAGAUCACGAAAAGGCCAGGAAAAAUACAUUUCGGUCAAAAUUUGGAGUAGAAAAAAAACCCUUCCUCAUUCAUUGGACAGCUCUCUUUGGGCUUUCCGAAAAGGUAUCACAUGCCAAGUUUGGCCUCACGGUCUAAAAGUUAUAGAUUCAUACAUUUUUCACAAAAAAAAGAAGAGAAAAACCAAAAAAAAGAGGGAUGAAACACGAGGACUUUCCCAGAGGUCACCCAUCCUAGUACUACUCUCGCCCAAGCACGCUUAACUGCGAAGUUCUGAUGGGAUCUGGUGCAUUAGUGCUGGUAUGAUCGCAUCUGUUACUACAUGCAAUGCAAUCGUAUCUAUUCUUUUUUGAAGAUUUUAUGAUUCAUUUACCGUGGGUCCCACCAGCUAUGUAGGAAAACCUAUCUUAUUUAUAAGAUCUUUGAUACAUGCAAAAUAUUGGAAAACAAUGUCCGAACAUAUAAUGUUCGCCCCAAAAUAUAGCGAAGACCACAAAAAUGCCAUAAAAAGUACAUUAAGGUCAAAAUUUGGAGUAGGAAAAAAAUCAAUAGGAGAAUUCCAUUUUCCUUCCCUCAUUCAUCGGAGAGCUCUCUUUGGGCAUUCCAAAAAGGUAUCACAUGCCAAGUUUGGCCUCACGGUCUAAAAGUUAUAGAAUAUUACAUUUUUAACAAAAAAAAAGAGAAAAACCGAAAAAAAGAGGGAUGCAACACGAAGACUUUUCUGGAGGUCACCCAUCCUACUACUACUCUCGCCCAAGCACACUUAACUGCGGUGUUCUGAUAGGAUCAAGUGCAUUAGUGCUGGUAUGAUCGCAUCAGUUACUACAUGCAAUACAAUCAUAUAUAUUCUUUUUUGAAGACUUUAUGAUCCAUUUGCCGUAGGUCCCACCAGCUAUGUAGGAAUACCUUAUCUUGUUUAUAAGAGCUUUGAUACAUGCAAAAUAUUCGAAAACAAUGUCCGAACAUAUAAUUUUUGUCCCGUAAUAUAGCAAAGAUCACGAAAAGGCCAGAAAAAAUACAUUUCGGUCAAAAUUUGGAGUAGAAAAAAAACCCUUCCUCAUUCAUUGGACAGCUCUCUUUGGGCUUUCCGAAAAGGUAUCACAUGCCAAGUUUGGCUUCACGGUCUAAACCUUAUAGACUCAUACAUUUUUCACAAAAAAAAGAAGAGAAAAACAAAAAAAAAGAGUGAUUAAACACGAGGACUUUCCUGGAGGUCACCCAUCCUAGUACUACUCUCGCCCAAGCACUCUUAACUGCGAAGUUCUGAUGGGAUCUGGUGCAUUAGUGCUGGUAUGAACGCAUCUGUUACUACAUGCAAUGCAAUCGUAUGUAUUCUUUUUUGAAGAUUUUAUGAUUCAUUUACCGUGGGUCCCACCAGCUAUGUAGGAAUAACCUAUCUUAUUUAUAAAAGCUUUGAUACAUGCAAAAUAUUCGAAAACAAUGUCCGAACAUAUAAUGUUCGCCCCAAAAUAUAGCAAAGACCACAAAAAUGCCAUAAAAAGUACAUUAAGGUCAAAAUUUGGAGUAGGAAAAAAAUCAAUAGGAGAAUUCCAUUUUCCUUCCCUCAUUCAUCGGAGAGCUCUCUUUGGGCAUUCCAAAAAGGUAUCACAUGCCAAGUUUGGCCUCACGGUCUAAAAGUUAUAGAGUAUUACAUUUUUAACAAAAAAAAAAAGAGAAAAACCGAAAAAAAGAGGGAUGCAACACGAAGACUUUUCUGGAGGUCACCCAUCCUAGUACUACUCUCCCCCAAGCACGCUUAACUGUGGUGUUCUGAUAGGAUCAAGUGCAUUAGUGCUGGUAUGAUCGCAUCAGUUACUACAUGCAAUGCAAUCAUAUAUAUUCUUUUUUGAAGACUUUAUGAUCCAUUUGCCGUAGGUCCCACCAGCUAUGUAGGAAUACCCUAUCUUGUUUAUAAGAGCUUUGAUACAUGCAAAAUAUUCGAAAACAAUGUCCGAACAUAUAAUUUUUGUCCCGUAAUAUAGCAAAGAUCACGAAAAGGUCAGAAAAAAUAUAUUUCGGUCAAAAUUUGGAGUAGAAAAAAAGCCCUUCCUCAUUCAUUGGACAGCUCUCUUUGGGCUUUCCGAAAAGGUAUCACAUGCCAAGUUUGGCCUCACGGUCUAAACCUUAUAGACUCAUACAUUUUUCAUAAAAAAAAGAAGAGAAAAACAAAAAAAAAAAGAGUGAUUAAACACGAGGACUUUCCUGGAGGUCACCCAUCCUAGUACUACUCUCGCCCAAGCACGCUUAACUACGAAGUUCCGAUGGGAUCUGAUGCAUUAGUGCUGGUAUGAUCGCAUCUGUUACUACAUGCAAUGCAAUCGUAUCUAUUCUUUUUUGAAGAUUUUAUGAUUCAUUUACUGUGGGUCCCACCAGCUAUGUAGGAAUAACCUAUCUUAUUUAUAAAAGCUUUGAUACAUGCAAAAUAUUGGAAAACAAUGUCCGAACAUAUAAUGUUCGCCCCAAAAUAUAGCAAAGACCACAAAAAUGCCAUAAAAAGUACAUUAAGGUCAAAAUUUGGAGUAGGAAAAAAAUCAAUAGGAGAAUUCCAUUUUCCUUCCCUCAUUCAUCGGAGAGCUCUCUUUGGGCAUUCCAAAAAGGUAUCACAUGCCAAGUUUGGCCUCACGGUCUAAAAGUUAUAGAGUAAUACAUUUUUAACAAAAAAAAAAAAGAAAAAAACCGAAAACAAAGAGGGAUGCAACACGAAGACUUUCCUGGAGGUCACCCAUCCUAGUACUACUCUCACCCAAGCACACNUUAACUGUGGUGUUCUGAUAGGAUCAAGUGCAUUAGUGCUGGUAUGAUCGCAUCAGUUACUACAUGCAAUGCAAUCNNNNNNNNNNNNNNNNNNNNNNNNNNNNNNNNNNNNNNNNNNNNNNNNNNCUCCUCAGUCAUCUUUGAGCUCUCUUUGGGCUUUCCGAAAAGGUAUCACAUGCCCAGUUUGGCCUCACGGUCUAAAAGUUAUAAAGUCAUACAUUUUUAACAAAAAAAAAAGAGAAAAACCGAAAAAAAGAGGGAUGCAAUACGAGGACUUUCCACGAGGUCACCCAUCCUAGUACAACUCUCGCCAAAGCAUGCUUAACUGCGGAGUUUAGAUGGGAUCUGGUGCAUUAGUGCUGGUAUGAUCGCAUCUGUUACUACAUGCAAUGCAAUCGUAUCUAUUCUUAUUUAAAGACUUUAUCAUCCAUUUGCCAUGGGUCCCACCUGUAGGAAUACCCAAUCUUGUUUAUAAGAGCUUUGAUACAUGCAAAAUAUUCGAAAACAACGUCCGAACAUAUAAUUUUCGCCCCGUAAUAUAGCAAAGAUCACGAAAAGGCCCGAAAAAGUACAUUAAGGUCAAAAUUUGGAAUAGAAAAAAAAACCAAAAGAAGUAUUCCAUUGUCCUUUGUCAUUCAUCGAAGAGCUCUCUUUGGGCUUUCCGAAAAGGUAUCGCAAGCCAAGUUUGGCCUCACGGUUUAAAAGUUAUAAAGUCAUACAUUUUUAACAAAAAAAAAAAGAGAAAAAACCGAAAAAAAGAGGGAUGCAACACGAGGACUUUUCUGGAGGUCACCCAUCCUAGUACUACUCUCGCCCGAUCACCCUUAACUGCGUAGUUUUGAUGGGAUUCGAUGCAUUAGUGCUGGUAUGAUCGCAUCUGUUACUACAUGCAAUGUAAUCGUAUCUAUUCUUUUUUAAAGACUUUAUGAUCCAUUUGCCGUGGGUCCCACCAGCUAUGUAGGAAUACCCUAUCUUCUUUAUAAGAGCUUUGAUAUAUGCAAAAUAGUGGAAAACCAUGUCCGAACAUAUAAUUUUUCCCCUGUAAUAUAGCAAAGAUCAAGAAAAAGCCAAAAAAAGUAUAUUUAGGUCAAAAUUUGGAGUAGAAAAAAAAACAAUAGAAGAAUUCCAUUUUCCUUCCUCAGUCAUCGGAGAGCUCUCUUUCGGCUUUCCGAAAAGGUAUCAAAUGCCAAGUUUGGCCUCACGGUCUAAAAGUUAUAGAGUCAUACAUUUUUAACAAUACAAAGUAGAGAAAACCGGAAAAAAGAGGGAUGCAACAUGAGGACUUUCCGGGAGGUAAUCCAUCCUAGUACAACUCUUGCCCAAGCACCCUUAACUGCGGAGUUCUGAUGGAAUCCGGUGCAUUAGUGCUGGUAUGAUCGCAUCUGUUACUACAUGCAAUGUAAUCGUAUCUAUUUUUUUUUAAAGACUUUAUGAUCCAUUUGCCGUGGGUCCCACCAGCUAUGUAGGAAUACCCUAUCUUCUUUAUAAGAGCUUUGAUACAUGCAAAAUAUAUGAAAAAACGUUCGAACAUAUAAUUUUUCCCCCCGUAAUAUAGCAAAGAUCACGAAAAGGCCCGAAAAAGUACAUUUAGUUCAAAAUUUGGAGUAGAAAAACCCAAUAGAAGAAUUCCAUUUUCCUUCGUCAUUCAUCGGAGAGCUCUCUUUGGGCUUUCCGAAAAGGUAUCACAUGCCAAGUUUGGCCUCACGGUCUAAAAGUUAUAGAGUCAUACAUUUUUAACAAAACAAAAUUGAGAAAAACCGAAAAAAGAGGGAUGCAACACGAGGACUCUCCAGAAGGUAACCCAUCUUAGUACUACUUUCGCCCAAGCACCCUUAACUGCGGAGUUCUGAUAGGACCCGGUGCAUUAGUGCUGGUAUGAUCGCAUGUGUUACUACAUGCAAUGUAAUCGUAUAUAUUCAUUUUUAAAGACUUUAUGAUCCAUUUGCCGUGGGUCCUACCAGCUAUGUAGAAAUACCCUAUCUUCUUUAUAAGAGCUUUCAUUCACGCAAAAUAAUGGAAAACAAUGUCCGAAGAUAUAAUUCCCCCCCCCCCCCCCCCGUAAUAUAGCAAAGAUCACGAAAAGGCCCGAAAAAGUACAUUAAGUUCAAAAUUUGGAGUAGAAAAAAAAACAAUAGAAGAAUUCCAUUUUCCUUCCUCAGUCAUCGGAGAGCUCUCUUUGGGCUUUCCGAAAAGGUAUCACAUGCCAAGUUUGGCCUCACGGUCUAAAGGUUAUAGAGUCAUACAUUUUUAACAAAAAAAAAUAGAAAAACAGAAAAAAGAGGGAUGCAAUACGAGGACUUUCCAGGAGGUCACCCAUCCUAGUACAACUCUCGCCGAAGCACGCUUAACUACGGUGUUCAGAUGGAAUCUGGUGCAUUAGUGCUGGUAUGAUGUCAUUUGUUACUACAUGCAAUGCAAUCAUAUCUAUUCUUAUUUAAAGACUUUAUGAUCCAUUUGCCGUGGGUCCCACCUGUAGGAAUACCCUAUCUUGUUUAUAAAAGAUUUGAUACAUGCAAAAUACUCGAAAACAAUGUCCGAACAUAUAAUUUUCACCCCGUAAUAUAGCAAAGAUCACGAAAAGGCCCGAAAAAGUACAUUAAAGUCAAAAUUUGGAGUAGAAAAAAACCCAAUAGAAGUAUUCCAUUCUCCUUCGUCAUUCAUCGGAGAGCUCUCUUUAGGCUUUCCGAAAAGAUAUCACAUGCCAAGUUUGGCCUCACGGUUUAAAAGUUAUAGAGUCAUAGAUUUUUAACAAAACAAAAAGAGAAAAACCGAAAAAAAAUUGGGAUGCAACACGAGGACUUUCCUGGAGGUCACCCAUCCUAGUACUACUCUUGCCCAAGCACCCUUAACUGCGUAGUUCUGAUGGGAUCCGAUGCUUUAGGGCUGGUAUGAUCGCAUCUGUUACUACAUGCAAUGUAAUCGUAUCUAUUCUUUUUUAAAGACUUUAUGAUCCAUUUGCCGUGGGUCCCACCAGCUAUGUAGGAAUACCCUAUCUUCUUUAUAAGAGCUUUGAUAAAUGCAAAAUAUUGGAAAGCAAUGUCCGAACAUAUAAUUUCGCCCCCGUAAUAUAGCAAAGAUCACGAAAAAGCCCAAAAAAGUUCAUUUAGGUCAAAAUUUGAGCAGAAGAAAAAGAAAUAGAAGAAUUCCAUUUUCCUUCCUCAUUUAUUGGAGAGCUCUCUUUGGGCUUUCCGAAAAGGUAUCACAUGCCAAGUUUGGCCUCACGGUCUAAAAGUUAUAGAGUCAUACAGUUUUAACAAAAUGAAAUAGAGAAAAACCGAAAAAAAGAGGGAUGUAACACGAGGACUUUCCGGGAGGUAAUCUAUCCUACUACUACUCUCGGCCAAGCACCCUUAACUGCGGAGUUCUAAUGGGAUCCGGUGCAUUAGUGCUAGUAUGAUCGCAUGUGUUACUACAUGCAAUGUAAUCGUAUCUAUUCUUUUUUAAAGACUUUAUGAUCCAUUUGCCGUGGGUCCCACCAGCUAUGUAGGAAUACCCUAUCUUCUUUAUAAGAGCUUUGAUACAUGCAAAAUAUAUGAAAAAAACGUCCGAACAUAUAAUUUUCCCCCCGUAAUAUAGCAAAGAUCAUGAAAAGGCCCAAAAAAGUACAUUAAUGUCAAAAUUUGGCGUAGAAAAAAAACCAAUAGACAUAUUCCAUUGUCCUUCAUCAUUCAUUGAAGAGCUCUCUUUGGGCUUUCCGAAAAGGUAUCACAUGCCAAGUUUGGCCUCACGGUCUAAAAGUUAUAGAGUCAUACAUUUUUAACAAUACAAAAUAGAGAAAAACCGAAAAAAAGAGGGAUGCAACACGAGGACUUUCCGGGAGGUAAUCCAUCCUAGUACUACUCUCGCCCAAGCACCCUUAACUGCGGAGUUCUGAUGGGACCCGGUGCAUUAGUGCUGGUAUGAUCGCAUCUGUUACUAUAUGCAAUGUAAUCGUAUCUAUUCUUUUUUAAAGACUUUAUGAUCCAUUUGCCGUGGGUCCCACCAGCUAUGUAGGAAUACCCUAUCUUCUUUAUAAGAGCUUUGAUAUAUGCAAAAUAUUGGAACACCAUGUCCGAACAUAUAAUUUUUCCCGUGUAAUAUAGCAAAGAUCAAGAAAAAGACAAAAGAGUACAUUUAGGUCAAAAUUUGAGUAGAAAAAAACAAAUAGAAGAAUUCCAUUUUCCUUCCUCAUUCAGCUGAGAGCUCUCUUUGGGCUUUCCGAAAAGGUAUCAUAUGCCAAGUUUGGCCUCACAGUGUAAAAGUUAUAGAGUCUAACAUUUUUAACAAAACAAAAUAGAGAAAAACCAAAAAAAGAGGGAUGCAACACGAGGACUUUCUGGGAGGUCACCCAUCCUAGUACUACUCUCGCCCAAGCACCCUUAACUGCGGAGUUCUGAUGGGAUCCGGUGCAUUAGUGCAGGUAUGAUCGCAUGUGUUACUACAUGCAAUGUAAUCCUAUCUAUUCUUUCUUAAAGACUUUAUGAUCCAUUUGCCGUGAGUCCCACCAGCUAUGUAGGAAUACCCUAUCUUCUUUAUAAGAGCUUUGAUACAUGCAAAAUAUUGGAAAACAAUAUCCGAACAUAUAGUUUUCCCCCCGUAAUAUAGCAAAGAUCACGAAAAGGCCCGAAAAAGUACAUUUAGUUCAAAAUUGGGAGUAGAAAAAAAAACAAUAGAAGAAUUCCAUUUUACUUCCUCAGUCAUCGGAGAGCUCUCUUUGGGCUUUCCGAAAAGGUAUCACAUGCCCAGUUUGGCCUCACGGUCUAAAAGUUAUAAAGUCAUACAUUUUUAACAAAAACAAAAGAGAAAAACCGAAAAAAAAGAGGGAUGCAAUACGAGGACUUUCCACGAGGUCACCCAUCCUAGUACAACUCUCGCCGAAGCAUGCUUAACUGCGGAGUUUAGAUGGGAUCUGGUGCAUUAGUGCUGGUAUGAUCGCAUCUGUUACUACAUGCAAUGCAAUCGUAUCUAUUCUUAUUUAAAGACUUUAUCAUCCAUUUGCCAUGGGUCCCACCUGUAGGAAUACCCAAUCUUGUUUAUAAGAGCUUUGAUACAUGCAAAAUAUUCGAAAACAACGUCCGAACAUAUAAUUUUCGCCCCGUAAUAUAGCAAAGAUCACGAAAAGGCCCGAAAAAGUACAUUAAGGUCAAAAUUUGGAAUAGAAAAAAAAACCAAUAGAAGUAUUCCAUUGUCCUUUGUCAUUCAUCGAAGAGCUCUCUUUGGGCUUUCCGAAAAGGUAUCGCAAGCCAAGUUUGGCCUCACGGUUUAAAAGUUAUAAAGUCAUACAUUUUUAACAAAAAAAAAAAGAGAAAAAACCGAAAAAAAGAGGGAUGCAACACGAGGACUUUUCUGGAGGUCACCCAUCCUAAUACUUCUCUCGCCCGAUCACCCUUAACUACGUAGUUUUGAUGGGAUUCGAUGCAUUAGUGCUGGUAUGAUCGCAUCUGUUACUACAUGCAAUGUAAUCGUAUCUAUUCUUUUUUAAAGACUUUAUGAUCCAUUUGCCGUGGGUCCCACCAGCUAUGUAGGAAUACCCUAUCUUCUUUAUAAGAGCUUUGAUAUAUGCAAAAUAUUGGAAAACCAUGUCCGAACAUAUAAUUUUUCCCCUGUAAUAUAGCAAAGAUCAAGAAAAAGCCAAAAAAGUAUAUUUAGGUCAAAAUUUGGAGUAGAAAAAAAAACAAUAGAAGAAUUCCAUUUUCCUUCCUCAGUCAUCGGAGAGCUCUCUUUGGGCUUUCCGAAAAGGUAUCAAAUGCCAAGUUUGGCCUCACGGUCUAAAAGUUAUAGAGUCAUACAUUUUUAACAAUACAAAGUAGAGAAAACCGGAAAAAAGAGGGAUGCAACAUGAGGACUUUCCGGGAGGUAAUCCAUCCUAGUACAACUCUUGCCCAAGCACCCUUAACUGCGGAGUUCUGAUGGAAUCCGGUGCAUUAGUGCUGGUAUGAUCGCAUGUGUUACUACAUGCAAUGUAAUCGUAUCUAUUCUUUUUUAAAGACUUUAUGAUCCAUUUGCCGUGGGUCCCACCAGCUAUGUAGGAAUACCCUAUCUUCUUUAUAAGAGCUUUGAUACAUGCAAAAUAUAUGAAAAAACGUUCGAACAUAUAAUUUUUCCCCCCGUAAUAUAGCAAAGAUCACGAAAAGGCCCGAAAAAGUACAUUUAGUUCAAAAUUUGGAGUAGAAAAACCCAAUAGAAGAAUUCCAUUUUCCUUCGUCAUUCAUCGGAGAGCUCUCUUUGGGCUUUCCGAAAAGGUAUCACAUGCCAAGUUUGGCCUCACGGUCUAAACGUUAUAGAGUCAUACAUUUUUAACAAAACAAAAUUGAGAAAAACCGAAAAAAAGAGGGAUGCAACACGAGGACUCUCCAGAAGGUAACCCAUCUUAGUACUACUUUCGCCCAAGCACCCUUAACUGCGGAGUUCUGAUAGGACCCGGUGCAUUAGUGCUGGUAUGAUCGCAUGUGUUACUACAUGCAAUGUAAUCGUAUAUAUUCAUUUUUAAAGACUUUAUGAUCCAUUUGCCGUGGGUCCUACCAGCUAUGUAGAAAUACCCUAUCUUCUUUAUAAGAGCUUUCAUUCACGCAAAAUAAUGGAAAACAAUGUCCGAAGAUAUAAUUUCCCCCCCCCCCCGUAAUAUAGCAAAGAUCACGAAAAGGCCCGAAAAAGUACAUUAAGUUCAAAAUUUGGAGUAGAAAAAAAAACAAUAGAAGAAUUCCAUUUUCCUUCCUCAGUCAUCGGAGAGCUCUCUUUGGGCUUUCCGAAAAGGUAUCACAUGCCAAGCUUGGCCUCACGGUCUAAAGGUUAUAGAGUCAUACAUUUUUAACAAAAAAAAAAUAGAAAAACAGAAAAAAGAGGGAUGCAAUACGAGGACUUUCCAGGAGGUCACCCAUCCUAGUACAACUCUCGCCGAAGCACGCUUAACUACGGUGUUCAGAUGGAAUCUGGUGCAUUAGUGCUGGUAUGAUGUCAUUUGUUACUACAUGCAAUGCAAUCAUAUCUAUUCUUAUUUAAAGACUUUAUGAUCCAUUUGCCGUGGGUCCCACCUGUAGGAAUACCCUAUCUUGUUUAUAAAAGAUUUGAUACAUGCAAAAUACUCGAAAACAAUGUCCGAACAUAUAAUUUUCACCCCGUAAUAUAGCAAAGAUCACGAAAAGGCCCGAAAAAGUACAUUAAAGUCAAAAUUUGGAGUAGAAAAAAACCCAAUAGAAGUAUUCCAUUCUCCUUCGUCAUUCAUCGGAGAGCUCUCUUUAGGCUUUCCGAAAAGAUAUCACAUGCCAAGUUUGGCCUCACGGUUUAAAAGUUAUAGAGUCAUAGAUUUUUAACAAAACAAAAAGAGAAAAACCGAAAAAAAUUGGGAUGCAACACGAGGACUUUCCUGGAGGUCACCCAUCCUAGUACUACUCUCGCCCAAGCACCCUUAACUGCGUAGUUCUGAUGGGAUCCGAUGCUUUAGUGCUGGUAUGAUCGCAUCUGUUACUACAUGCAAUGUAAUCGUAUCUAUUCUUUUUUAAAGACUUUAUGAUCCAUUUGCCGUGGGUCCCACCAGCUAUGUAGGAAUACCCUAUCUUCUUUAUAAGAGCUUUGAUAAAUGCAAAAUAUUGGAAACCAAUGUCCGAACAUAUAAUUUCGCCCCCGUAAUAUAGCAAAGAUCACGAAAAAGCCCAAAAAAGUUCAUUUAGGUCAAAAUUUGAGCAGAAGAAAAAGAAAUAGAAGAAUUCCAUUUUCCUUCCUCAUUUAUUGGAGAGCUCUCUUUGGGCUUUCCGAAAAGGUAUCACAUGCCAAGUUUGGCCUCACGGUCUAAAAGUUAUAGAGUCAUACAUUUUUAACAAAAUGAAAUAGAGAAAAACCGAAAAAAAGAGGGAUGUAACACGAGGACUUUCCGGGAGGUAAUCUAUCCUACUACUACUCUCGGCCAAGCACCCUUAACUGCGGAGUUCUAAUGGGAUCCGGUGCAUUAGUGCUGGUAUGAUCGCAUGUGUUACUACAUGCAAUGUAAUCGUAUCUAUUCUUUUUUAAAGACUUUAUGAUCCAUUUGCCGUGGGUCCCACCAGCUAUGUAGGAAUACCCUAUUUUCUUUAUAAGAGCUUUGAUACAUGCAAAAUAUUGGAAAACAAUGUCCGAACAUAUUAUUUUCCCCCCGUAAUAUAGCAAAGAUCACGAAAAGGCCCGAAAAAGUACAUUUAGUUCAAAAUGUGGAGUAGAAAAAAAAACAAUAGAAGAAUUCCAUUUUCCUUCGUCAUUCAUCGGAGAGCUCUCUUUAGGCUUUCCGAAAAGGUAUCACAUGCCAAGUUUGGCCUCACGGUCUAAAAGUUAUAGAAUCAUACAUUUUUAACAAAACAAAAUAGAGAAAAACCGAAAAAGAGGGAUUUAACACGAGGACUUUCCGAGAGGUAACCCAUCCUAGUACUACUCUCGUCCAAGCACCCUUAACUGCGGAGUUCUGAUGGGAUCCGGUGUAUUAGUGCUGGUAUGAUCGCAUGUGUUACUACAUGCAAUGUAAUCGUAUCUAUUCUUUUUUAAAGACUUUAUAAUCCAUUUGCCGUGGGUCCCACCAGCUAUGUAGGAAUACCCUAUUUUCUUUAUAAGAGCUUUGAUACAUGCAAAAUAUUAGAAAACAAUGUCCGAACAUAUUAUUUUCCCCCCGUUAUAUAGCAAAGAUCACGAAAAGGCCCGAAAAAGUACAUUUAGUUCAAAAUUUGGAGUAGAAAAAAAAACAAUAGAAGAAUUCCAUUUUCCUUCGUCAUUCAUCGGAGAGCUCUCUUUAGGCUUUCCGAAAAGGUAUCACAUGCCAAGUUUGGCCUCACGGUCUAAAAGUUAUAGAGUCAUACAUUUUUAACAAAACAAAAUAGAGAAAAACCGAAAAAAGAGGGAUUUAACACGAGGACUUUCUGAGAGGUAACCCAUCCGAGUACUACACUCGCCCAAGCACCCUUAACUACGGAGUUCUGAUGGGAUACGGUGCAUUAGUGCUGGUUUGAUCGCAUCUGUUACUACAUGCAAUGUAAUCGUAUCUAUUCUUUUUUAAAGACUUUAUGAUCCAUUUGCCGUGGGUGCCACCAACUAUGUAGGAUUAUCCUAUAUUCUUUAUAAGAGCUUUGAUACAUGAAAAAUAUUCGAAAACAAUGUCCGAACAUAUAAUUUCCACCCGUAAUAUAGCAAAGAUCACGAAAAGGCCCAAAAAAGUACAUUAAGUUUAAAAUUUGGAGUAGAAAAAAAACCAAUAGAAGAAUUCCAUUUUCCUUCCUCAGUCAUCGGAGAGCUCUCUUUGGGCUUUCCGAAAAGGUAUCACAUGCCAAGUUUGACCUCACGGUCUAAAGGUUAUAGAGUCAUACAUUUUUAACAAAAAAAAAUAGAAAAACAGGAAAAAAGAGGGAUGCAAUACGAGGACUUUCCAGGAGGUCACCCAUCCUAGUACAACUCUCGCCGAAGCACGCUUAACUGCGGUGUUCAGAUGGGAUCUGGUGCAUUAGUGCUCGUAUGAUGGCAUUUGUUACUACAUGCAAUGCAAUCGUAUCUACUCUUAUUUAAAGACUUUAUGAUCCAUUUGCCGUGGGUGCCACCAACUAUGUAGGAUUAUCCUAUAUUCUUUAUAAGAGCUUUGAUACAUGCAAAAUAUUCGAAAGCAAUGUCCGAACAUAUAAUUUCCCCCCCGUAAUAUAGCAAAGAUCACGAAAAGGCCCGAAAAAGUACAUUUAGUUCAAAAUUUGGAGUAGAAAAAAAAACAAUAGAAGAAUUCCAUUUUCCUUCGUCAUUCAUCGGAGAGCUCUCUUUAGGCUUUCCGAAAAGGUAUCACAUGCCAAGUUUGGCCUCACGGUCUAAAAGUUAUAGAGUCAUACAUUUUCAACAAAACAAAAUAGAGAAACACCGAAAAAAGAGGGAUUUAACACGAGGACUUUCCGAGAGGUAACCCAUCCUAGUACUACUCUCGUCCAAGCACCCUUAACUGCGGAGUUCUGAUGGGAUCCGGUGCAUUAGUGCUGGUAUGAUCGCAUGUGUUACUACAUGCAAUGUAAUCAUAUCUAUUCUUUUUUUAAAGACUUUAUGAUUCAUUUGCCGUGGGUCCCACCAGCUAUGUAGGAAUACCCUAUUUUCUUUAUAACAGCUUUGAUACAUGCAAAAUAUUGGAAAACAAUGUCCGAACAUAUUAUUUUCCUCCCGUAAUAUAGCAAAGAUCACGAAAAGGCCCGAAAAAGUACAUUUAGUUCAAAAUUUGGAGUAGAAAAAAAAACAAUAGAAGAAUUCCAUUUUCCUUCGUCAUUCAUCGGAGAGCUCUCUUUAGGCUUUCCGAAAAGGUAUCACAUGCCAAGUUUGGCCUCACGGUCUAAAAGUAUAGAGUCAUACAUUUUUAAAAAAACAAAAUAGAGAAAAACCGAAAAAAGAGGGAUUUAACACGAGGACUUUCCGAGAGGUAACCCAUCCUAGUACUACUCUCGUCCAAGCACCCUUAACUGCGGAGUUCUAAUGGGAUCUGGUGCAUUAGUGCUGGUAUGAUCGCAUGUGUUACUACAUGCAAUGUAAUCGUAUCUAUUCUUUUUUAAAGACUUUAUGAUCCAUUUGCCGUGGGUCCCACCAGCUAUGUAGGAAUACCCUAUUUUCUUUAUAAGAGCUUUGAUACAUGCAAAAUAUUGGAAAACAAUGUCCGAACAUAUUAUUUUCCCCCCGUUAUAUAGCAAAGAUCACGAAAAGGCCCGAAAAAGUACAUUUAGUUCAAAAUUUGGAGUAGAAAGAAAAACAAUAGAAGAAUUCCAUUUUCCUUCGUCAUUCAUCUGAGAGCUCUCUUUAGGCUUUCCGAAAAGGUAUCACAUGCCAAGUUUGGCCUCACGGUCUAAAAGUUAUAGAGUCAUACAUUUUUAACAAAACAAAAUAGAGAAAAACCGAAAAAGAGGGAUUUAAGACGAGGACUUUCUGAGAGGUAACCCAUCCGAGUACUACACUCGCCCAAGCACCCUUAACUACGGAGUUCUGAUGGGAUACGGUGCAUUAGUGCUGGUUUGAUCGCAUGUGUUACUACAUGCAAUGUAAUCGUAUCUAUUCUUUUUUAAAGACUUUAUGAUCCAUUUGCCGUGGGUGCCACCAACUAUGUAGGAUUAUCCUAUAUUCUUUAUAAGAUCUUUGAUACUUGCAAAAUAUUCGAAAAAAAUGUCCGAACAUAUAAUUUCCCCCCCGUAAUAUAGCAAAGAUCACGAAAAGGCCCAAAAAAGUACAUUAAGUUUAAAAUUUGGAGUAGAAAAAAAACCAAUAGAAGAAUUCCAUUUUCCUUCCUCAGUCAUCGGAGAGCUCUCUUUGGGCUUUCCGAAAAGUUAUCACAUGCCAAGUUUGACCUCACGGUCUAAAGGUUAUAGAGUCAUACAUUUUUAACAAAAAAAAAUAGAAAAACAGGAAAAAAGAGGGAUGCAAUACGAGGACUUUCCAGCAGGUCACCCAUCCUAGUACAACUCUCGCCAAAGCACGCUUAACUGCGGUGUUCAGAUGGGAUCUGGUGCAUUAGUGCUUGUAUGAUGGCAUUUGUUACUACAUGCAAUGCAAUCGUAUCGAUUCUUAUUUAAAGACUUUAUGAUCCAUUUGUCGUGGGUGCCACCUGUAGGAAUACCCUAUCUUGUUUAUAAGAGAUUUGAUACAUGCAAAAUAUUCGAAAACAAUGUCCGAACAUAUAAUUUUUGCCCCGUAAUAUAGAAAAGAUCACAAAAAAGUCCAAAAAAGUACAUUUAGGUCAAAAUUUGAGCAGAAAAAAAAGAAAUAGAAGAAUUCCAUUUUCCUUCGUCAUUCAUCGGAGAGCUCUCUUUAGGCUUUCCGAAAAGAUAUCACAUGCCAAGUUUGGCCUCACGGUCUAAAAGUUAUAGAGUCAUACAUUUUUCACAAAACAAAAAGAGAAAAACCGAAAAAAAUAGGGAUGCAACACGAGGACUUUCCUGGAGGUCACCCAUCCUAGUACUAAUCUCGCCCAAGCACCCUUAACUGCGUAGUUCUGAUGGGAUCCGAUGCAUUAGUCCUGGUAUGAUCGCAUCUGUUACUAUAUGCAAUAUAAUCGUAUCUAUUCUUUUUUAAAGACUUUAUGAUCCAUUUGCCGUGGGUCCCACCAGCUAUGUAGGAUACCCUAUCUUCAUAAUAAGAGCUUUGAUAAAUGCAAAAUAUUGGAAAACAAUGUCCGAACAUAUAAUUUCCCCCCCCCCCCCCGUAAUAUAGCAAAGAUCACGAAAAAGCCCAAAAAAGUACAUUUAGGUCAAAAUUUGAGUAGAAAAAAAAACAAAUAGAGGAAUUCCAUUUUCCGUCCUCAUUCAUCGGAGAGCUCUCUUUCGGCUUUCCGAAAAGGUAUCACAUGCCAAGUUUGGCCUCACGGUCUAAAAGUUAUAGAGUCAUACAUUUUUAACAAAACAAAAUAGAGAAAAACCGAAAAAAAGAAGGAUGCAACACGAGGACUUCCCGGGAGGUCACCCAUCCUAGUACUACUCUCGCCUAAGCACCCUUAACUGCGGAGUUCUGAUGGGAUCAGGUGCAUUAGUGCUGGUAUGAUCGCAU
This 41400-nucleotide long non-coding RNA is filed under the name Arabidopsis thaliana (thale cress). RNAcentral's name for it is "long non-coding RNA (ATHA_LNC000153)". Lineage: Eukaryota; Viridiplantae; Streptophyta; Magnoliopsida; Brassicales; Brassicaceae. The record is from RNAcentral.